This 6288-nucleotide long non-coding RNA is filed under the name Vitis vinifera (wine grape). RNAcentral describes it as "long non-coding RNA (VVIN_LNC001198)". Lineage: Eukaryota; Viridiplantae; Streptophyta; Magnoliopsida; Vitales; Vitaceae. The record is from RNAcentral.
CUCCCUAGAAGCAACAUUAUUUUUCCUUUCUCCUGAAGAAUAUUUAUCAUGCUUCGACUUCUCCCUAUUCUUGAUUCUUUCCAGAUUGUCAUUUUCUCCAGAUUUCAGGUCAGACAGGCCACUGGAUGUUUGCUCUUUGUAUUUCAGGUCCUUGUGGUGUCUCUUGUCUCUUGGUUUCUCCCUGUCACCUGAUUCAUCAUCCAAAUCCUGCUGUGUUUUAUCAUAAUUUGACCUCUCCUUGUGCUUGAGGUCCUGGUGCUGUCUCUUGUCUCUUGGUCUCUCCCUGUCACCUGAUUCAUUGUCCAAGUCUUGCUGUGUUUUAUCAUAAUUUGACCUCUCCUUGUGCUUCAGGUCCUGGUGCUGUCUCUUGUCUCUUGGUCUCUCCCUGUCACCUGAUUCAUCGUCCCAAUCUUGCUGUGUUUUAUCAUAAUUUGACCUCUCCUUGUGCUUCAGGUCCUGGUGCUGUCUCUUGUCUCUUGGUCUCUCCCUGUCACCUGAUUCAUCGUCCGAAUCUUGCUGUGUUUUAUCAUAAUUUGACCUCUCCUUGUGCUUCAGGUCCUUGUGGUGUCUCUUGUCUCUUGGUCUCUCCCUGUCACCUGAUUCAUCAUCCAAAUCUUGCUGCGUUUUAUCAUAAUUUGACCUCUCCUUGUGCUUCAGGUCCUUGUGGUGUCUCUUGUCUCUUGGUCUCUCCCUGUCACCUGAUUCAUUGUCCAAAUCUUGCUGUGUUUUAUCAUAAUUUGACCUCUCCUUGUGAUUCAGUUCCUUGUGGUGUUUCUUCCUUUUUAAUCUUCCCCUUUCACCUGAUUCAUCUUCUGAAUCUGUUGGUGCUUUUUCCUCAUAAUUUGACCUCUUAUGGCUACCAUCCUUUCUUCUUUCUUCUUCAGGAGUGACAUUUUCAGAUUGGUGUCUCGAUGAAGAAUGCGUGUGAUGCUUUGAACUCUUGUGAUGAAGUUUCUUUUCCUCUUUUCUAUCGUGUUUCUUCUCCUUGGGCUUUUUCUCUUCCACCUACCAAAAAAUCAACAAGGACAGCAGCAUGAUCAGCAAAAGCUUUGGUGCAGAAUCAUUGUAAAGAAUUUUGGUGUACAAUGUAGUUAAACAAAAUGCCAUAGAUAACAUAAUUUUGUUGAUUUCUUUCAAUAGAACUCAUAUCUUCAUCAUAUAUCAAUGUUCCAUAGAAUUUUUUUGGGGGAGAUGUCAUGUGGCUUCCAACCUAAUCACGCAAUCUCAGUUUUUAACUUGAUUCAUAAUCUCCUAUUUUUCAUCCUUGGUGUCAUUAGGCACGUUGGCCCCACAAAUCUGUCUAAACAGACAAGUUCAAGGUUGUUUAGUCAUUUUUAAUAGCUUGCUAUUUUCACUCUAGGGAAAUAAAAAUAUUCUAAGAAUUCUAUGGACAUUCAGAGGGUGUUUGGUGAUUUACUUAAUGACUUAAAGUGACUUAAUAACUUAAUUUCAAUUAUUAAGUAGAUUAAACAUGUUUGGUAAAACAGCUUAAUAUCACAACUUGAAAUUAAAAAUGACUUUACGUAUCAAGUCAAAAUAAUUAACUAAUUAUUAAUCUUAAAUCUUUUUUGUUUCAUUUACCCAUAUGUAAGGAGAGUAUAUUUAACAACCAUGACUCCACAUUUCUGAGUCAUUUUUUAUAAUAAAUAUUUUAAGGUUAUUUUAUAUAUCUACAAUACUUUAAAUAUAGAUAUUUAAUAAACAAAUUUAUUGCUUAAGAUCAAUAAAAAUAUAUAUUAGUUAAAAUUAAUGAUGAUAAAUAUCAAUUACAACUAAUGAGGGUAAAUGUGAAUUUGAUAACUUAAAAUAAAUUUUAAGUUAAUUUGAUCAAACAACUUAAACACUUAAAGUAAAAUAUAAUUAAUAGGUUCUAAUUUAACAACUUAAGAGCAAUUUCACUUAAAGUCAACUUAAGUCAUUAAGUAACAAACAUUAAGUUUUACCAAACGCCCACUCAAACUUGUACUUAUUUACACUAGUAUGCACUCUUCAAUAAAGUUUUUGUUCAUAAAAGAUAAUUACUUGUGAAAAAACAAUUACCAUACCAUCACAACUCCUGCCACUAAUAUUUAGCUUAUAAAUGGGAUAAACUUACAGAUUUGCGGAUCAUGGCCAUCUGAACUGGAUUGUUCUUAAUGUGUGCCAGGGCUUCUUGUUCUCGCUGUCGAAUCAUAAGCAAAGGAUCAGAAUGAAGUUUCCUCCAUGUAUCAUUGGCAGAUUGAGGUUUCUCCUCAAAUAAAGCUCCUGGCACGGAUGGUUGCUGCUGCUAAGACAUACCACAAAUUCAAAAUUCAAAAAACAGCUCUUGAAUAAAUCAUGUGCCUUUUAUUCAUCAAUCAAAAGGCUAAAGCACUGGCAAAUAACCGAACUUCAAAUUACCUUGGCAGAAGAAGAGGAGGCUACAUCGUUGCUGGGCAGGGCUUCCAGUGCUUUGAAUCCAUCAGAGCUGCCCUUUCCUACUGCUAAUCCAGAAUCAUAAAGAAAUUCCAAUCUCUCUUGCUUGCUGAAAAAUAAAGUAGUUAAAAAAGAAUUAAUUUCAUAAAUUAUUCAAAACACUUAAACAUCAUAAAUCCUAAUAUGCAAAACGAAACAAGAAACUAGAUUGAUUUCAUAAAUUUAACCCUAAGUUUAAAAUCAACAAAUUAUAUUAAAAAAAAAAAAAAGAAUAAUGUAAUGACAAAAUGGAACAUUUUCAUAGAUCCUACUGGAAUGCUGCAAACCCUAACCUUAACCAUAGCCAUAAAAUCGACAAAUCGUAAUCCAUUUCAUAAAGAAUUAAUUAGUCAAACCCAAACUUUCAUAAAUUCGUUAAACCAGAGAUAUUAUAAACCCUAACUAUAGGCCUAACCCGAAGCUUAAAACCAACCAUUUAUAAUGAAAAAAAUGGGUUAAUUCCAUAGAUCCUUCCAAACCAAAAUAUUGUGAACCCUAACCCUAACCAUAAAAUCAGCAAAUUAUUAUCCAUUUAAUAAAUCAUUCAAACCAGAAUUAUUGUAAACCUACCCCCUAACCCUAACUCUAACAUCAGAAAAUUAUAAUCCAAUAAAAAAAUUCUGCAAAGCCGAGAUAUUGUAUCAGAAACCCUAAUCCUAAUAUGAAGAAAGUAUGACAAAAAACAGCGAGAGUAACAUACGGAACGAGGCCAGCUUGUUCCUGGAGGAGCCGAUAUUCUGAGCGCUCCCUCUCCUCCAGAAUCUGUUUGCGGAGCUCUUCCAAUUUCUUCUGCUCAGCGUCAUGCUUCUGCUCAGCCUUCCACACGUUCUCUAUGUUCCGAAGACUCCCCGUGUGCCAUCCCUUCUUGUUCAAAAACUUCAACGCCAUAGAUCUUCAAUUUCAAUUCCAAUUCCAGAUUUUUCAGAGGUUUAGAUCUGCAAAUUCUGCUGCUUUUAUUUUCACUUCUUUCCUUUUUUCUUCCGGAGGUUCGCCCAUUUCGUUGUAAUCUUAUAUUUGCAAUCAUUUAUUUAUUAUUAUUAUUAUUAUUAUUUAAAAAAAAAAAAAAAAAAAACACUCUAGAGGUAGGGUCAAAUAGCACGUGCCUCUUAUACUGAAUUUAUCUGAUAUUUGAUUGUUGCAAAGUGUAUCGAGAAAGAGCUUGAUCAUGGAAGGUUUCUCGAUCAUCAAUAAAAAUAAAAAUGUUGUAUUUAGAUAUAUUUUUUAUUUUUAAAAAUAUAAAUUUUUAUUUUUUGUUUUAAAAAAUAUAAAUUUAUAUAUAAAAAUUAAAAACUUUUAUAUAAAAUGUAUUUUUAAACAUAUCAUAAUAAAAAAUUUUAAUACCUUAAUUAUUAUUAUUUUUUUUGUCAAUUUUCAAAAAUCAUUAAUUUUUAAUAUAAGUCUAUAAAGUUCCUUAUAAAAAUUACUAUUAUUUCUAUUUUUAAAAUUAAAAGGACACUUUUUCUUAAUACCCUAGUUUAAAAAAUAAAAAAUGCUACUACAUGUACAACAAAAAAUGAUAAAUAAUAUUUAGUAGGAAUAUUGUAUUAAAAAUAUUUCAUAUUUUUAAAUACAAUUAUUAUAUUGUCAUUAAUUGCAAAAAUGUCAACAAAUGUUAUAAAUUUGUAAAUUUUGAUAUUCUCGAUGGAAUCAUUCCAUGCUAUGGAUUUUUUUUUUAAAAAAAGCAUUAUUAAAACACAAUUGUUUAAAAAAUAAAUACAAAAAUACCACACUUUUUAUCAUUUUUUUUUAUUUUUACACUAAACUAUGUCUUUUUAAAAGACAAUUUCCUUUUUUAUCUUAAUACUUUUUAUAUUAAACUUCUCUUUCCAAAAUACAAAUUCAUUUUUUUUACAGGUAACUCACAUUUUCAAUAUACGAAAUCUACUCGAAAUUAAAAUGUAUCGUAAAUACAUAUAUAUAUAUAUAUAUAUAUAUAUAUAUAUAUAUCGCCCAUGAAAUCGUGACAAAUCCACAACGGUUUGGUAACACCAUUUACUUGUGUACCAAUUCCGUCUUCCACUCUUGCAUGAAAAUAUUAGGUAUUGAAUGUCAUUUUGUUCAUUUUCAAUUCAAGUUUCUCAUAUAUUCACUAAGAAUCAAUUGAUGAUAUUUUAUAUUAGCCUCUUGGGAAGGAGUUUUCUUGCUUUUACAUAGGGGGUGCAAUUUGGAUGGGUUAAUCGAGUUGAUGGCUAAUCCAAGUCCAACAUGAAUUAAAAAGCAAUUAAUCUAUGUUCAAUCCAACCCGAUCUCUAUCUCAAGGUACUCAAUUUAAAUUCAACUAACUUCAUUUUUCUAAACCUAAGUUGAGUUCAGGUUAUUCAAGUUUGAUUCGAGUUAAAUUUGGGUUAAUCAGAUUGUAUAAUUCAAAAUUUAUUUAUGAUAUUGUAGACCCCUUUUAUGGGGGGCCCGGGGGGAGAGUUUUUCUCUCUUUGGGCAUUUCUUUUUUAAACAAGGGGGGACCCUUUUCUCUAGGGAAUGUUGAGGCCUCGCGUCCCUGGUGAUCCACGUAAUUGCCAAAUGGAUGGACGCAUGAUCUUAACCAAUAUAGAUUCCUGGUUUAGUCGUUCCUGCAAAAGGCGUCCGGACAAGGUGUUCGGACACACCCUCCGAUGGUUUUGUCAGCCAUGGUUAGAGAGAUAAAUCAGUUGACCUUUUACUAGGUAUAGCAAGCUUACCUUCCUCCUUGUAUGAAGGUCUAUAUAUAUAGUGUUAGGAACUUUGUUUCCCUCUUUAAUGGUAGGGAGAUAUUUUGGCUUCGUCAUGAUGCCUCUAGGUGGUGGCAAGGUCAUCAUCACCCUACGGGCGGCUGACAGAGAUCGUGGGAGGCGCCGCAACUGUCAGAGGUCGUGGGAAGUGACUUGCCGUCACUUCAUUCCUGUCUUUUCACUCUGCAGGUGGCGGAACGUGGGCCGUGGCAGGUUGUUGGAAUGAUGUGCAAGACUUGCUUACUUCAGUCAACAAUCCGGACAAAACAUAUCCGGAUAGGAUAUGUCGGUCGUCCGGAUGUGAUAUGACGGUCGUCCGGAUGUGAUGUUUGCGAGUGUAGUGUGCCUCUCCCUGAGGGAGUCCGGAUAGGAGAAGCGCGCCACGUGCACUCUUGGGGGAAUCCGGAUGGGGGUAAUCCGGAUAGAAACGUGUGCCACGUGUCAUUAGGAAAUGUGUGCCAUGUGUCAUCAGGGGGAGGGGUCCCUACAGGGAAGACCGGGCUGCAAAGAGGAAAAGGAGUAGGGAUGACCAUAAUUUCAGGAGCCAUGCCUGCUGAUGAGGACACAGGAGAGUGGGUGAGAGGGACAGAAGGCUUUUGAGGUCAGGAGGAGAGGGAGGGAGGAGGAGAAAAAGGCGCUCUGGAGGUGGCAGACGAGCAGGAGGAGGGAAAGCCGAACCACAUUCAGCUAGAAAGCUCAGGUAUGGCCAUCUCCUCAAUUCUGAUCUUUAUUUUUCGCUAUUUUUGCUCAGUGCUGUGAAUCUAUUUUUCUCUGUUAUUGGGCUUGUUGAUUAUUGCUUUGGCACCAUUCUUUCCGAACCCCAUGCGCGACCACCCUCUGUAACUCUCCACUCUUUCAUCCUCACUACCCAUCAGAAACACCACCCUCCCAUUUCCAUCAUCUCUUUCACGUGCAUGGAGUCUCAUGCAUGGCUACCCAANNNNNNNNNNNNNNNNNNNNNNNNNNNNNNNNNNNNNNNNNNNNNNNNNNNNNNNNNNNNNNNNNNNNNNNNNNNNNNNNNNNNNNNNNNNNNNNNNNNNAAAGUCCAGCCCUACUUGAACUCCUCCGCCUCCAUUACCAACAGCAGGCUGAGCCUCACCUGGGCCUUGAAUCCCUCCGUCAUCCACCACCGUCGACGAGGAAGAAGAAA